GACUCCAUAGCUAAGUGGUUAUAGCAUGAGAUUGCAGUGUGAAUGCCUCAAGCAUGGCAUAAUCUCGGGGUCGCGUGUUCGAGUCACGCUGGGGUCU
Molecule: non-coding RNA, 97 nt
Organism: Armillaria fumosa
Lineage: Eukaryota; Fungi; Basidiomycota; Agaricomycetes; Agaricales; Physalacriaceae
Source: the annotation of a GenBank genome assembly